GCAGGGUUAUAUCAGAGGCUUAGAUUAUCACUUUCCGAGUCGAGCAUGGUUGUUCUUUUACAGCCACGACUGUUCUGGUGAGGGUCGUGGGUUCGAAUCCCACACUCUGCU
Molecule: non-coding RNA, 111 nt
Organism: Meira miltonrushii
Lineage: Eukaryota; Fungi; Basidiomycota; Exobasidiomycetes; Exobasidiales; Brachybasidiaceae
Source: the annotation of a RefSeq genome assembly